Molecule: ribosomal RNA, 496 nt
Filed under: uncultured bacterium
Lineage: Bacteria
Description: partial 16S ribosomal RNA
Rfam family: Bacterial small subunit ribosomal RNA
Source: RNAcentral
GAUGAACGCUGGCGGCGUGCCUAAUACAUGCAAGUCGAGCGAACAGAUAAGGAGCUUGCUCCUUUGACGUUAGCGGCGGACGGGUGAGUAACACGUGGGUAACCUACCUAUAAGACUGGAAUAACUCCGGGAAACCGGGGCUAAUGCCGGAUAACAUUUAGAGCCGCAUGGUUCUAAAGUGAAAGAUGGUUUUGCUAUCACUUAUAGAUGGACCCGCGCCGUAUUAGCUAGUUGGUAAGGUAACGGCUUACCAAGGCAACGAUACGUAGCCGACCUGAGAGGGUGAACGGCCACACUGGAACUGAGACACGGUCCAGACUCAGACGGGAGGCAGCAGAAGGGAAUCUUCCGCAAUGGGAGAAAGCCUGACGGAGCAACGCCGCGUGAGUGAUGAAGGUCUUCGGAUCGUAAAACUCUGUUAUUAGGGAAGAACAAAUGUGUAAGUAACUGUGCACGUCUUGACGGUACCUAAUCAGAAAGCAACGGCUAACUACGU